Small nucleolar RNA from Gorilla gorilla gorilla (western lowland gorilla), 89 nucleotides. The record is from Ensembl. Lineage: Eukaryota; Metazoa; Chordata; Mammalia; Primates; Hominidae.
UCCUGGCUUUAAUUUAUAUGCCUUUUUCAAAUUCUGACUGGUUGCAUGAUGAAUAAAAUCAAAUCACCAUCUUUCGGCUGAGUUCGUGA